AACGAACGCUGGCGGUAUGCUUAACACAUGCAAGUCGAACGAACAAAAUUGGGGCUUGCUCCAAUUUUAGUGAGUGGCAAACGGGUGAGUAGCACGUGGGAAUCUACCUAUCAGUACGGAAUAACAUUUGGAAACAGAUGCUAAUACCGUAUAUUCUCCAAGGAGGAAAGAUUUUAUCGCUGAUAGAUGAGCCCGCGCAAGAUUAGGUAGUUGGUAGGGUAAUGGCCUACCAAGCCGACGAUCUUUAGCUGGUCUGAGAGGAUGAUCAGCCACCAUGGGAAUGAGACACGGCCCAGACUCCUACGGGAGGCAGCAGUGGGGAAUAUUGGACAAUGGGCGAAAUCCUGAUCCAGCAAUACCGCGUGAAUGAUGAAGGCCUUGUUGUAAAGUUCUUUUAGUUGGAAAGAUAAUGACGGUACCAACAGAAAAAGCCCCGGCUAACUCCGUGCCAGCCGCCGCGGUAA
This 464-nucleotide ribosomal RNA is filed under the name uncultured bacterium. Its description in RNAcentral is "partial 16S ribosomal RNA". It matches the Rfam family "Bacterial small subunit ribosomal RNA", at positions 29 to 523 of the family's 1533-position model. The record is from RNAcentral.